UCUCCAGACUCCUACGGGAGGCAGCAGUGGGGAAUAUUGCACAAUGGGGGAAACCCUGAUGCAGCAACGCCGCGUGAGUGAAGAAGUCAUUCGUGAUGUAAAGCUCUAUCAGCAGGGAAGAAAAUGACGGUACCUGACUAAGAAGCCCCGGCUAACUACGUGCCAGCAGCCGCGGUAAUACGUAGGGGGCAAGCGUUAUCCGGAUUUACUGGGUGUAAAGGGAGCGUAGACGGCAGUGCAAGUCCGGAGUGAAAGCCCGGGGCUCAACCCUGGGACUGCUCUGGAAACUGUAAAGCUGGAGUGCGGGAGGGGCAGGCGGAAUUCCUGGUGUAGCGGUGAAAUGCGUAGAUAUCAGGAGGAACACCGGCGGCGAAGGCGGCCUGCUGGACCGUAACUGACGUUGAGGCUCGAAAGCGUGGGGAGCAAACAGGAUUAGAUACCCCGGUA
This 447-nucleotide ribosomal RNA is filed under the name uncultured bacterium. RNAcentral describes it as "partial 16S ribosomal RNA". It matches the Rfam family "Bacterial small subunit ribosomal RNA", at positions 328 to 792 of the family's 1533-position model. The record is from RNAcentral.